Molecule: long non-coding RNA, 338 nt
Organism: Tachysurus fulvidraco (yellow catfish)
Lineage: Eukaryota; Metazoa; Chordata; Actinopteri; Siluriformes; Bagridae
Exons: 3
Source: RefSeq, a predicted model, not a curated record
AAAAAGAAGAAGAAAAGCAUUUCAUCUUUCUGACCUUUCACUUUAUUCCCCUUGAUACCUGAAUGCAUGAUGCUGCUGCUAGCUGGAGCUCAACUCCAAGCUACUUCAGAUCCAGCAGGUGAAACAGCCUCCAGUGGAAUAGCAGGUCAGCUGAUCAGCUGAACAUCAUCAACGUGGUUCAGAACCCUGAGAGUUUUGCUCCUAGUGCUCCUGUGAACAACCCUUUCCCACCUCAUCACACUCAGCAGGAGGUCAAUACGAUGCACGGCGUCGCCAUGGCUAUGGUACCCGAGGAAAAUCCUCCAGCGUACAGCGAGAAAAUGUAAUUAGACCACAGA